Marmota flaviventris (yellow-bellied marmot) is the source of this 407-nucleotide non-coding RNA. NCBI's taxonomy places the organism in Eukaryota, Metazoa, Chordata, Mammalia, Rodentia, Sciuridae. The record is from RefSeq and is a predicted model, not a curated record.
GCUGCAGGUGAACCCAGCGCGCUCGCAGGCCCUGCUGCCUCCACUCCCGCGCUCAGGGAUCCUGUCCGCACUUUUGGAUUCGCUCGGCGCUCUCGGGGUAAUGUCUGGGCAUGAGAGACUUGAACAAGAUCUGGAAGGUGAAGGUGAAGCAGCAGCCAUAUUUUUCCCUCUAAAGCUCCUGCUUGGAAUGUUGGGUUCUGAGAGGCACCUGAGCUGUUUUGGGAACGGGUGUGACAAAUGAUAUCUCUGGGAGAGUGUAACCAAGGGAGAUGGACAUCCUGUGUUUCCGAGAGUGAGUUUCUUUGGGACCUUUCUUAUCUCUGGGAUGAAGAACCUCUGGAGACUCCUUUGUACUAUCAGCAAUGACAACUCCACCACGACAAUUCUCAAACCUUUUGCAAUGGAAA